Molecule: long non-coding RNA, 452 nt
Filed under: Calidris pugnax (ruff)
Lineage: Eukaryota; Metazoa; Chordata; Aves; Charadriiformes; Scolopacidae
Description: lncRNA (ENSCPUG00000012510.1)
Source: RNAcentral
CUGUCCCGCUCACAAAAGCGUACUGUUGUUCCACUUCUGUUUUUCCUUUUGGGAUGAGGGGCCUCAAGAGCUAAACCACCAUCUCCUCUCUGCCCGCAGGCUGUGGAAAGGCCGGUGCUGUACGUCGCUGUGAGCGUCCUUGGAGUGGGGACAGGCAGUGGACACCUUUCUUCCCCUCGUUCUCCUUCGCUCAGCAGCACCCAAUGUUUCAGCAGGUGGGAGAAGCCACCACUCAGAAAGCAACCCUGCACCCUUGAUAAACCUGUUCUCUCAGCAACUGGGGUUAUUGCCAGCCCAUAGCAACAGACUUGGAAAAUUGGAUAAAGUUGAAACCUGGGGGUCCCCAGAAGAGUUCAUUUCCUUGUUGGUCCUUAUCAAAGAGAAGUCUCAGUCUUGAAAUGGGAUCUGAGGAUAUCAAAGGCUGCUCUUCACUUUGAGGGAGGAAGGAGAAG